This 328-nucleotide ribosomal RNA is filed under the name forest soil bacterium AV02. RNAcentral describes it as "bacterial SSU rRNA". It matches the Rfam family "Bacterial small subunit ribosomal RNA", at positions 353 to 674 of the family's 1533-position model. The record is from RNAcentral. Lineage: Bacteria; Bacillati; Bacillota; Bacilli; Caryophanales; Paenibacillaceae.
AGUAGGGAAUCUUCCGCAAUGGGCGAAAGCCUGACGGAGCAAUGCCGCGUGAGUGAUGAAGGUUUUCGGAUCGUAAAGCUCUGUUGCCAGGGAAGAACGCUUGGGAGAGUAACUGCUCUCAAGGUGACGGUACCUGAGAAGAAAGCCCCGGCUAACUACGUGCCAGCAGCCGCGGUAAUACGUAGGGGGCAAGCGUUGUCCGGAAUUAUUGGGCGUAAAGCGCGCGCAGGCGGUCAUUUAAGUCUGGUGUUUAAUCCCGGGGCUCAACCCCGGAUCGCACUGGAAACUGGGUGACUUGAGUGCAGAAGAGGAGAGUGGAAUUCCACGU